RNAcentral lists this ribosomal RNA (193 nucleotides) under uncultured bacterium. RNAcentral describes it as "partial 16S ribosomal RNA". It matches the Rfam family "Bacterial small subunit ribosomal RNA", at positions 335 to 526 of the family's 1533-position model. The record is from RNAcentral.
ACUCCUACGGGAGGCAGCAGUAGGGAAUAUUGGGCAAUGGACGCAAGUCUGACCCAGCCAUGCCGCGUGCAGGAUGAAGGCGUUAUGCGUUGUAAACUGCUUUUAUACAGGAAGAAACGACUCUUGCGAGAGGCAUUGACGGUACUGUAUGAAUAAGCACCGGCUAGCUCCGUGCCAGCAGCCGCGGUAAUAC